This 404-nucleotide ribosomal RNA is filed under the name uncultured bacterium. RNAcentral's name for it is "bacterial SSU rRNA". It matches the Rfam family "Bacterial small subunit ribosomal RNA", at positions 28 to 428 of the family's 1533-position model. The record is from RNAcentral.
GACGAACGCUGGCGGCGCGCUUAACACAUGCAAGUCGAGCGAGAACCCUCCUUCGGGAGGGGGACAGCGGCGAACGGGUGAGUAACACGUGGGUAAUCUGCCCUCGGUUCUGGGAUAGCCCGGGGAAACCCGGAUUAAUACCGGAUAGCCUCUCGAGCUCUCGGGCUCGUGAGAAAAGGUAGCUUCGGCCUCCGAUCGAGGAGGAGCCCGCGGCGGAUUAGCUUGUUGGUGGGGUAACGGCCCACCAAGGCGACGAUCCGUAGCUGGUCUGAGAGGACGAUCAGCCACACUGGGACUGAGACACGGCCCAGACUCCUACGGGGGGCAGCAGUGGGGAAUCUUGCGCAAUGGGCGAAAGCCUGACGCAGCGACGCCGCGUGAGGGAAGAAGGCCUUCGGUUGUAA